CGCGAAUGGCUCAUUAAAUCAGCUAUGGUUCCUUAGAUCGUACAUACUACAUGGAUAACUGUAGUAAUUCUAGAGCUAAUACAUGCCACUAUGCCCUGACCCUUACGGGAACGGGUGGAUUUAUUAGAACAGAACCAAUACAGCUUCUGCUGUUUAAUUCUGUGAUGACUCUGGAUAACUUAACUGAUCGCAGUCGGCCUUGAGUCGGCGACGGAUCUUUCAAAUGGCUGCCCUAUCAAUUGUCGAUGGUAGGUGACCUGCCUACCAUGGUAAUAACGGGUAACGGGGAAUCAGGGUUCGAUUCCGGAGAGGGAGCCUGAGAAACGGCUACCACAUCCAAGGAAGGCAGCAGGCGCGCAAAUUACCCAAUCCCGGCACGGGGAGGUAGUGACGAAAAAUACGGAGACGGGACUCUUUAUGGGCCUCCGACAUCCGAGUGAGUACAUUUUAAAUCCUUUAACGAGGAUCAACUGGAGGGCAAGUCUGGUGCCAGCAGCCGCGGUA
This 504-nucleotide ribosomal RNA is filed under the name Didymozoidae sp. DP-280. RNAcentral describes it as "SSU rRNA". It matches the Rfam family "Eukaryotic small subunit ribosomal RNA", at positions 88 to 581 of the family's 1831-position model. Lineage: Eukaryota; Metazoa; Platyhelminthes; Trematoda; Azygiida; Didymozoidae. The record is from RNAcentral. RNAcentral also lists the same sequence under 4 other names.